Gorilla gorilla gorilla (western lowland gorilla) is the source of this 85-nucleotide microRNA precursor. It matches the Rfam family "mir-571 microRNA precursor family". Lineage: Eukaryota; Metazoa; Chordata; Mammalia; Primates; Hominidae. The record is from Rfam.
AGUAACACCAGGCUCGAUGUGCCAUUUCCUUGUCUGUAGCCAUGUCUAUGGGCCCUUGAGUUAGCCACCUGGGUGAGGGCCUGCU